Molecule: ribosomal RNA, 225 nt
Filed under: uncultured bacterium
Lineage: Bacteria
Description: partial 16S ribosomal RNA
Rfam family: Bacterial small subunit ribosomal RNA
Source: RNAcentral
UACGUAGGGGGCAAGCGUUGUCCGGAAUCAUUGGGCGUAAGCGCGUGUAGGCGGCUCAGUAAGUCCGCUCUGAAAGCCCGGGGCUUAACCCCGGGAGGCGGGUGGAUACUGCUGAGCUUGAGUCCGGAAGAGGCGAGUGGAAUUCCCGGUGUAGCGGUGAAAUGCGCAGAUAUCAGGAGGAACACCAAUGGCGAAAGGCAGCUCGCUGGGGACGUGACUGACGCU